AAAGGAAUUGACGGGGGCCCGCACAAGCGGUGGAGCAUGUGGUUUAAUUCGAAGCAACGCGAAGAACCUUACCAGGUCUUGACAUCCUUUGACCACUCUAGAGAUAGAGCUUCCCCUUCGGGGGCAAAGUGACAGGUGGUGCAUGGUUGUCGUCAGCUCGUGUCGUGAGAUGUUGGGUUAAGUCCCGCAACGAGCGCAACCCUUAUUGUUAGUUGCCAUCAUUCAGUUGGGCACUCUAGCAAGACUGCCGGUGACAAACCGGAGGAAGGUGGGGAUGACGUCAAAUCAU
This 289-nucleotide ribosomal RNA is filed under the name Corynebacterium sp. HMSC05C01. RNAcentral describes it as "partial 16S ribosomal RNA". It matches the Rfam family "Bacterial small subunit ribosomal RNA", at positions 903 to 1193 of the family's 1533-position model. The record is from RNAcentral. Lineage: Bacteria; Bacillati; Actinomycetota; Actinomycetes; Mycobacteriales; Corynebacteriaceae.